UUUUCUUUUUUUAUAAAAUGGGUCCAUUAGUCAAACAGGUCCCACUUGUCAGGUUCUGAUAAAUGGGUCCCAGCUAUUAGGCUCAGAUUCUUCAUAUUUCAAUUUGACAUCAUAUUUGAAUUUCAUAGUAAGAAAAUAACCAGUAUUUAAAUAGGCAAGCAGAAGACACACAUAAUUAUUCAAAUAACAAUAGCCAGAUUCACUACAAGCUCUACAAAUGACACGUAAUACAAGCUCUAACAUAUACAAUGCUUUACAAGCUCUACAAAUGCAAAGCUCUACAGUACUUUACAAGCUCUCCAAGUAAUGUUACAAGCUCUACAAGUGUUCUCUUCUUCAACAUGGAGCUCCUUCAACAACGAUCAAAUGUCGGACUCACGGACAGACAUAGUCAGGACUGGGCUGACAGAAAUACAACAUGCCUUCCACAGUCGCCCUGUUACAUGAAUCGGCUGAGAAGAAUCAGAAAAACUGGAUCCAAUAUAAUAUGAACAUUCCAUUCAAAAAAGGUAGUAAAGGGAUAAAGGACAAUUCUUUAUAUAAUGAUAAACAGAUUUCAGCUAGUACCAAUCUUUUUUAGCUGAGCUAGUUAAAAUGAUAUAUUCAUACAAGACAAUAGAGACUAUAUGAAUAUGAAUGGCACAAGUGCAGGUCCUAGUUACUGGCUACACAUGUAACACCAAUAAAUGGAUAGAACAAUAAUGGGAACAACUCCAGAUUACACACAAAGCUCUAUCCAUAGUGCCAGCUAUGGAUAAAAUCAUGCAAACUCCCAACAGAACUCAGUCACACAGUAUAAUUCUAACUAUAAUAUAACCAAGAACUAAAGAUUGUCACACAAUAUAAUUCUGACUAUAAUAUAACCAGAGAACUAAAGAUUCUACGUACUUAGAACUCAACUAAUAAGUGAGAAUGAUCUGAUUGUAUGCAAACAAUCUUUUUUUAUUUGUUUAUAUUACAAAAACAGACAUUUCUUCCUUUAUGUGAAGAAGUAUGCCUCCUUCUUUAGUUAGCAGUAAUCAUUCCAUGCAAAUCAACCGUGUGUGUGUGUGCUUGAUCAUGGUCUAGAUAUUACACGCAUAGAGGAACAGAAUCCUAAACAAAAUAGUAUCAAACAACGGUGGGUGCUCAACCUAUUUACCAUACACAAGCAACACUUAAAUCAUAGCAUGUGCAUAUACUUGUGUCACAUCAGGGGGUUCAGAAUGUACUCAGCAUAAUCUAAUAAAAAGGACUGGGAGCAGAGGGAGAGGGAGGUGGAGAUGGACGUGCUACCUGUUGCUGCGGUGGUGCCUCUUGGUGGUCGUGCUUGAGCUCCUCCUGAAGCUGCUCACUAACUUG
This 1341-nucleotide long non-coding RNA is filed under the name Triticum aestivum (bread wheat). RNAcentral's name for it is "long non-coding RNA (TAES_LNC003688)". Lineage: Eukaryota; Viridiplantae; Streptophyta; Magnoliopsida; Poales; Poaceae. The record is from RNAcentral.